Molecule: long non-coding RNA, 1274 nt
Organism: Hipposideros armiger (great roundleaf bat)
Lineage: Eukaryota; Metazoa; Chordata; Mammalia; Chiroptera; Hipposideridae
Exons: 3
Source: RefSeq, a predicted model, not a curated record
GCUGUGUUUGUCUUCAACGCGUUGGCCACUGCACAGGCGCCUUCAUCCCCGAUGGCAUUCUCCUGUAAACUGAACACAUUGAGAGUGACCCCGGGGUGCAUGGGGCACAGGGCCGGCUUUCUUGCAUGAUGUGCUUAGCUGAGCUUGGACCUUCUAUUUAAUUCAGAACACACACACUAUAGACUAGACUCCCAGGGUCACCCCAUGUGGCCAAUGCAGUCCCAUGGCCUCCUAAUGAACAUGUAGAGGGGUCUGGGGCCUGGACCCGAGAAGCAAACAAGAAAAGGGACAUGUGAAAGUACUGUCACCAAGGGUUUGGGACAAAAUAGGGGAUGCUUUUCAAAGCCAACCAGAAAACUAAAUUGAAGCCCUUGAUCCCUCGGCUAUUCUUACUAGUCAGCGUUUUUCAUCUUUUCCACAUUGGAAGAAGUAGCUGGCCCUUGAGCUUAGUUCAAGUGGACUCUGGCGUGUUUAAGGGAGCAGUUUGCGUAAUGAUUUUAACAGACAUUGACUGUUCAUUGUGUAUUAGCAAGCCCAAUUCUGCCCACUUGGAACUCAGGCAGGAAGACAUGGUUACAUGAGCAGUCACCAGAGACCUCAUGCAGCCUGCAGGGAGGACCCUGCAGGGUCUCCCAACCCAGGGUGAUCACAGAGGCUGCCCAGAAGAAAUAGGUCUGAACCAAUUUCUGAACCAAAACCUGAAUAAGAGAUGGGGGAGAGGGCCUAGCACAUCUAAGGAACCCAGUGAAAUUGAGUCAAGUCUGGAGUACGAGGUGAGGCUGAGGGGGUGCAAAGGCAGUAGAUGUUUGGGGGCCCUAGAAGCCAUGCUAAAGGUCAGCUUCCCUCUGCAGGCACUGAGCAGGCACUGAAACGUCUCACCAGGACAGGGACAGAUGUGUGUUUUGGAAAGAUGUUGGCCAGCAGUAUGAGAGGAUGAACUGGGUGUGGAGGCUGCUGUGGUGAUACAGCUCCAGGCUCAUGAUCCAAACCCCUCAGCCUCACCAGCAUCAUCAGGGCCUGGAUACAGGUGGAGAUCAGGUGAGCCCUGGAACAGAUUGCCAGGCCCAGGAUAACUUCUGAGCCAGAUGAGGUACCAGAGCCUCAGGAACCUUCUGGAAUGGGCAGAAAUAAGCAGUCCCCAUCCUGAGACAAAUGCUUCAAAGACACGACUCCUUGAAAGCACCAUUGGCCAGUAGAGCAGAGAGGAGGAUUGGAAAGGAGCCCCCAGACUCUGAAAGACAGACGGGCACCCUGGGUGAGGUCUCCUGGGGCAG